AAUUAAAUGUCUGAAAAAGAAUUAUCUCGAUAAGAUAAAGCAUGUAUAAUAUACUUUAAUUA
Molecule: transfer RNA, 62 nt
Filed under: Acerentomon microrhinus
Lineage: Eukaryota; Metazoa; Arthropoda; Protura; Acerentomata; Acerentomidae
Description: tRNA-Ile
Source: RNAcentral